UGCCAGCGACGGUUGGCUAUGGCGAUAAACGGCGGUUGGAAUAAGCGUUGUGGACCCGGGGGCAGUGCCCGGCGCCUCCACCAUAGGGGGGCGAAACAGGCUCGACACGCGCGGUAAAGAUCCGCUUUUCGCCCGGCAUGGUUCCGCCGUUAUCGGGCCAUUCGACAAGUGCCAACGAUAACGUCAAGGCGCUCGCUGUCGCUGCGUAAGCGAUAAGCGCGGUUCGGGGGGCACCGGGCAACAGAAGCCCCCCACA
Molecule: transfer-messenger RNA, 256 nt
Filed under: Acetobacteraceae bacterium
Lineage: Bacteria; Pseudomonadati; Pseudomonadota; Alphaproteobacteria; Acetobacterales; Acetobacteraceae
Rfam family: Alphaproteobacteria transfer-messenger RNA
About the family: Bacterial tmRNA, also known as 10Sa RNA or SsrA, is named for its dual tRNA and mRNA-like properties. Its role is to liberate the mRNA from a stalled ribosome. To accomplish this part of the tmRNA is used as a reading frame that ends in a translation stop signal.
Source: RNAcentral